AUGUUAGUGUGAAACCUCAAACAUUUAUCUGACUUUUGAGCUUAGAGUAAAUAGUUAUGUUUGUUUGAGUAAAACUUCACUAGUUAAAGCAUUUCAUAGUUUGAGAAAAGGAUAUUUUUAUGUUUUCCUUUUACUAGGAUUAAACACGUUGUUACUCACCCAAUUAAGGGUUUAAUCACACGCUAAGACAUUUUUCACGCAUCUUAACACUUAGGGAUUUAGAGCGAGGUUUGAAGAAGAGAAAAGGGCUAAGUUUCUAGCGUUCAUUAAGAUUUGUGGAAUUCGCAAAGAACAUUGUUCUUUCCAGGGUCAUCAACAAGCACUUCGUUGACAACAUUUGCACUCCAACUAGCUUUGGUGAGCCUCCUUGCUUUCCGAAGGGCUCCACAUUUAUAUUUCUAUUUUGUAAAGAUGUUGUGGGUCUUCUCCCGGCAUCUAUUGUAGUAUUUAGAGGCUUCGUAAAUAGUUAAAGUUGAGUAGUCUUUCGAUAUUGUCUUUUGUUGAGAUGUUUUGAGGUCUUAAGAUGCUUAUCUAUACGUUGUUAGUCAUUUUCAGACAUUUAUUUUAGUUAAUAGUUAACUUGAGAUUUUAAAGUUUAAUGUUGAAA
Molecule: long non-coding RNA, 607 nt
Organism: Solanum lycopersicum (tomato)
Lineage: Eukaryota; Viridiplantae; Streptophyta; Magnoliopsida; Solanales; Solanaceae
Source: RefSeq, a predicted model, not a curated record